GCAUUGGUGGUGCAGUGGUAGAAUUCUUGCCUUCCAUGUGGAAGACCCAGGUUCGAAUUCUGGCCAAUGCC
This 71-nucleotide transfer RNA is filed under the name Loxodonta africana (African savanna elephant). It matches the Rfam family "tRNA". Rfam says of the family: Transfer RNA (tRNA) molecules are approximately 80 nucleotides in length. Their secondary structure includes four short double-helical elements and three loops (D, anti-codon, and T loops). Further hydrogen bonds mediate the characteristic L-shaped molecular structure. tRNAs have two regions of fundamental functional importance: the anti-codon, which is responsible for specific mRNA codon recognition, and the 3' end, to which the tRNAs corresponding amino acid is attached (by aminoacyl-tRNA synthetases). tRNAs cope with the degeneracy of the genetic code in two manners: having more than one tRNA (with a specific anti-codon) for a particular amino acid; and 'wobble' base-pairing, i.e. permitting non-standard base-pairing at the 3rd anti-codon position. Lineage: Eukaryota; Metazoa; Chordata; Mammalia; Proboscidea; Elephantidae. The record is from Rfam by way of RNAcentral.